UAUUCAAUCUUUUAAACUCUCACGGACUCCUUGCUCAUCUUGAUCUCUAUUCCGUGUAUCAGGCGACGUCUCACUCUAACUGAUCUCGCACGAACGUAAAUGCAUGCUGCUUGCUGUCCACAUCUAAUCGCACCCUGGUGAUUGCUUAGAGGUUGAAUCCAGUGCUCUCCUAAAUCCGAACUGUGCACACACCAGUCAUCCGCAAACCACGUCAAGAUCGUGCAUGGACCAAGCCGCACCCCAGAGUUGCGUACCCAUGUGCUGUGAAGACCGACCUCCACUUGAAACCAGCGCUCCACUCCAAGCCUUCAAACCGGACCCACUUGAAACCACCAAAUCCCACACGCC
This 348-nucleotide long non-coding RNA is filed under the name Elaeis guineensis (African oil palm). RNAcentral's name for it is "long non-coding RNA (EGUI_LNC034399)". Lineage: Eukaryota; Viridiplantae; Streptophyta; Magnoliopsida; Arecales; Arecaceae. The record is from RNAcentral.